This 756-nucleotide long non-coding RNA is filed under the name Mytilus galloprovincialis (Mediterranean mussel). Lineage: Eukaryota; Metazoa; Mollusca; Bivalvia; Mytilida; Mytilidae. The record is from RNAcentral.
AAGCGAGGGUGGGUAUGCUGUGUAUGUGGCUGUUCUUUUUUACUCCCUGUUAGAUAAAGCUCAAAUAUCUUUAUAAAUAUGUAACUUGCGUAGGUUAUUUCUAGAAUAACAACAACAAAUUUUUUUUUUAAUUCUUUAAGUUCUCAAACCCAACAUUUGCAAUUUUUAAUUUACAUGUUUUUCUCGUAAGCUUCCGUCAAAUCAAAAGUUGACAUUUUGUAACUAAGGAGCCGUCAUGUUGACUUGCUGAAAUGGGUGAAUAUGCGAAUAAUGCAAUAGAAUAGAAAAUAAAACAAAACCUACCUAAAAAAAUCAGUUUUAAUACAAUAUCAUACGAAUUCCGAUGGUUCACGUAACAGAAAACUUUUAAGUUUAGCGGUUUCAUUUGUAUGACGUCAUGUUUUGAAAUGACUUAAAUGCGCCAAAAAGAUUAAUAGACUUUCGCGGAAUUUUAUUUAAUUUUUAUUUUGUUGAUUUCUCCGAGCUCUUGUGCAAUUACUUCUUUUUAUUAUGCAUACGAAUAAGAAUAAAAGUUAUUUUGUCUUUUUUAAUUGCACUUUUUAAAACAAUAAAAUCGGCAAAGGAUCUGCAAAUAGGUUCCAAUACAUGUAGAUUUACGUGGGAAGUAUAUUGUAACAGCCAUUAUUAUGCAUAUCUCUGAGUCUGCGCUAAGUAUAUUUUAUCGAGAAUUUUAUCACAGUGUUGUUUACAAAGCUAAAGAAGCACGUCAUAUUAGAAUGAUACACAGUAAUGAAA